GACGAACGCUGGCGGCGUGCCUAAUACAUGCAAGUCGAACGAACCGCGACUGAGUGCUUGCACUUGGUCAAGGUGAGUGGCGAACGGGUGAGUAACACGUGGGUAACCUACCUCAUAGUGGGGGAUAACGGUCGGAAACGACUGCUAAUACCGCAUAGGACAUGGAAUCACAUGAUUCUGUGAGGAAAGGUGGCGCAAGCUAUCGCUAAGAGAUGGACCCGCGGUGCAUUAGCUAGUUGGUAGGGUAAGGGCCUACCAAGGCGAUGAUGCAUAGCCGACCUGAGAGGGUGAUCGGCCACAUUGGGACUGAGACACGGCCCAAACUCCUACGGGAGGCAGCAGUAGGGAAUCUUCCGCAAUGGACGCAAGUCUGACGGAGCAACGCCGCGUGAGUGAAGAAGGUCUUCGGAUCGUAAAGCUCUGUUGUUAGAGAAGAACAGCGCAUAGAGUAACUGUUAUGCGUGUGACGGUAUCUAACCAGAAAGCCACGGCUAACUACGUG
RNAcentral lists this ribosomal RNA (502 nucleotides) under uncultured bacterium. Its description in RNAcentral is "partial 16S ribosomal RNA". It matches the Rfam family "Bacterial small subunit ribosomal RNA", at positions 28 to 507 of the family's 1533-position model. The record is from RNAcentral.